Molecule: long non-coding RNA, 555 nt
Organism: Erinaceus europaeus (western European hedgehog)
Lineage: Eukaryota; Metazoa; Chordata; Mammalia; Eulipotyphla; Erinaceidae
Exons: 2
Source: RefSeq, a predicted model, not a curated record
GGAAACUAUAGUCUCCUCUCAAGAAGGAGACAUAAUAAUUGCAAUAAUGAUCACUUGUAGAGUUUUAUUAUGGAGUCAGGCUCUCUCACAGGUAUCAGCUAGCUGGAUCAUCCUAAUGAUUCGCAGUAGCAGAGACAACUUUCCUGGGAGCCUGAGGUUCAGAGAUACAAAAUGAUCCAAAGGUUAAUUAAUUAAUUAAUUAAUUAAUUUAUUAUUUUUCAAAUGGUAAGACUGUCAAAGAUUUAUCUAACUAGGAUUUGUCCUCAAUCCUGAUGUAGGCUUUUUUUUUUUUUUUUUUUUUUUUACAGUGAUACCUAUGAGAAUGGGUGAUGAAAAGCCAGGUUUACCAAACACCUCUUUUCUCCACAGGAGGAGGCUUCUGUGAUCCAGUUACCCUGGAACUACACCCAGGAAGAGACACAGGCCAAAUAUCUAGGCCAGAUGGUAGGAGCCAACACAUUGGCAGAGUGAGCUACCUUCAUAUUCAAGCCUGUCAUUUCAAGACCUUUCAGAAAUGAAACCAAGAAUGAAAGGACAGAAUAAAGAAACAGUGAG